RNAcentral lists this ribosomal RNA (484 nucleotides) under uncultured bacterium. RNAcentral describes it as "partial 16S ribosomal RNA". It matches the Rfam family "Bacterial small subunit ribosomal RNA", at positions 30 to 507 of the family's 1533-position model. The record is from RNAcentral.
AUUGAACGCUGGCGGCAUGCCUAACACAUGCAAGUCGAACGAUGAUUCAGAGCUUGCUCUUAUGAUUAGUGGCGGACGGGUGAGUAAUGUAUAGGGAUCUGCCUGUUAGUGGGGGACAACAGCCGGAAACGGCUGCUAAUACCGCAUACGCUCUACGGAGGAAAGUGGGGGACCCUCGGGCCUCACGCUAACAGAUGAACCUAUAUUGGAUUAGCUAGUUGGUAGGGUAAAGGCCUACCAAGGCGACGAUCCAUAGCUGGUUUGAGAGAAUGAUCAGCCACACUGGGACUGAGACACGGCCCAGACUCCUACGGGAGGCAGCAGUGGGGAAUAUUGGACAAUGGGCGCAAGCCUGAUCCAGCAAUGCCGCGUGUGUGAAGAAGGCCUUCGGGUUGUAAAGCACUUUAAGUUGGGAGGAAAAGCUGAGGGUUAAUAGCCUUUAGUGUUGACGUUACCAACAGAAUAAGCACCGGCUAACUCCGUG